This 88-nucleotide transfer RNA is filed under the name Melampsora larici-populina 98AG31. RNAcentral's name for it is "tRNA-Cys for anticodon GCA". It matches the Rfam family "tRNA". From Rfam's summary of the family: Transfer RNA (tRNA) molecules are approximately 80 nucleotides in length. Lineage: Eukaryota; Fungi; Basidiomycota; Pucciniomycetes; Pucciniales; Melampsoraceae. The record is from Rfam by way of RNAcentral.
GUCUCCAUAGCUCAGUGGUUUAGAGCGGCCGCCUGCAGUGUAUUCCUUGCAUAGCGGCAGGUCACGUGUUCAAAUCACGUUGGGGACU